RNAcentral lists this long non-coding RNA (296 nucleotides) under Pan troglodytes (chimpanzee). RNAcentral's name for it is "long non-coding RNA NONPTRT009193". The record is from RNAcentral. Lineage: Eukaryota; Metazoa; Chordata; Mammalia; Primates; Hominidae.
UCGGGCUCCAGGGACUCGAGAAAGAGGAACUCGAAGACCUGUUUAACAAACUGGAUCAAGACGGAGACGGCAAAGUGAGUCUUGAGGAAUUCCAGCUUGGCCUCUUCAGUCAUGAGCCCGCGCUACUUCUGGAGUCUUCCACUCGGGUUAAACCGGGCAAGGCUUGGUCUCAUUACCAGGCAUCUGGAGCAGGGGUACCGGGAAAGGCUGAGCCUCCUGCGGUCUGAGGUGGAGGCGGAGCGAGAGCUGUUCUGGGAGCAGGCCCACAGGCAGAGGGCCGCGCUGGAGUGGGACGU